Molecule: ribosomal RNA, 498 nt
Filed under: uncultured bacterium
Lineage: Bacteria
Description: partial 16S ribosomal RNA
Rfam family: Bacterial small subunit ribosomal RNA
Source: RNAcentral
AUUGAACGCUGGCGGCAUGCCUUACACAUGCAAGUCGAACGGUAACAGGUCUUCGGAGGCUGACGAGUGGCGAACGGGUGAGUAAUACAUCGGAACGUGCCUAGUAGUGGGGGAUAACUACUCGAAAGAGUGGCUAAUACCGCAUGAGAUCUACGGAUGAAAGCAGGGGAUCGCCAGACCUUGUGCUACUAGAGCGGCCGAUGGCAGAUUAGGUAGUUGGUGGGAUAAAAGCUUACCAAGCCGACGAUCUGUAGCUGGGCUGAGAGGACGAUCAGCCACACUGGGACUGAGACACGGCCCAGACUCCUACGGGAGGCAGCAGUGGGGAAUUUUGGACAAUGGGCGAAAGCCUGAUCCAGCAAUGCCGCGUGCAGGAUGAAGGCCUUCGGGUUGUAAACUGCUUUUGUACGGAACGAAAAGCCCCGGGUUAAUACCCUGGGGUCAUGACGGUACCGUAAGAAUAAGCACCGGCUAACUACGUGCCAGCCGCCGCAGUAA